AGCGCAGGCGGUUUUCUUAAGUCUGAUGUGAAAGCCUUCGGCUCAACCGAAGAAGUGCAUCGGAAACUGGGAAACUUGAGUGCAGAAGAGGACAGUGGAACUCCAUGUGUAGCGGUGAAAUGCGUAGAUAUAUGGAAGAACACCAGUGGCGAAGGCGGCUGUCUGGUCUGUAACUGACGCUGGUAGGGACUCCGAAAGCGAAUGGGUAGCAAACA
This 215-nucleotide ribosomal RNA is filed under the name uncultured bacterium. RNAcentral's name for it is "partial 16S ribosomal RNA". The stretch from base 5 to 182 matches the Rfam family "Bacterial small subunit ribosomal RNA", at positions 572 to 748 of the family's 1533-position model. The record is from RNAcentral.